GACGAACGCUGGCGGUGUGCUUAACACAUGCAAGUGGUGCGACGAACCAGAGCUUGCUCUGGGGCAAAGCCGCGAACGGGUGAGUAACACGUGGGUAAUCUACCCCGAUGACCGGGACAACCCGAGGAAACUCGGGCUAAUACCGGAUGUGGUACGGAGACAUAAGUCUCUUUACUAAAGGUAGCUUCGGCUUCCGCAUUGGGAGGGGCCCGCGGCCCAUUAGCUAGUUGGUGGGGUCAAGGCCUACCAAGGCAACGAUGGGUAGCUGGUCUGAGAGGACGAUCGGCCACACUGGGACUGAGACACGGCCCAGACUCCUACGGAGGCAGCAGUGGGGAAUCUUGCGCAAUGCGCGAAAGCGUGACGCAGCAACACCGCGUGAGGGAAGACGGGCCUUAGGGUUGUAAACCUCUUUCAGAUGGGACGAAGGUGAUGCGGUGAAUAGCCGAUGUCAUUGACGGUACCGUCAGAAGAAGCUCCGGCUAACUACGUGCCAGCAGCCGCGGUAAU
RNAcentral lists this ribosomal RNA (510 nucleotides) under uncultured bacterium. RNAcentral describes it as "bacterial SSU rRNA". It matches the Rfam family "Bacterial small subunit ribosomal RNA", at positions 28 to 524 of the family's 1533-position model. The record is from RNAcentral.